Molecule: ribosomal RNA, 771 nt
Filed under: uncultured bacterium
Lineage: Bacteria
Description: bacterial SSU rRNA
Rfam family: Bacterial small subunit ribosomal RNA
Source: RNAcentral
CAUGCAAGUCGAACGAGCGAGAGAGAGCUUGCUUUCUCGAGCGAGUGGCGAACGGGUGAGUAACGCGUGAGGAACCUGCCUCAAAGAGGGGGACAACAGUUGGAAACGACUGCUGAUACCGCAUAAGCCCACGGUGCCGCAUGGCACAGAGGGAAAAGGAGCAAUCCGCUUUGAGAUGGCCUCGCGUCCGAUUAGCUAGUUGGUGAGGUAACGGCCCGCCAAGGCAACGAUCGGUAGCCGGACUGAGAGGUUGAACGGCCACAUUGGGACUGAGACACGGCCCAGACUCCUACGGGAGGCAGCAGUGGGGAAUAUUGCACAAUGGGGGAAACCCUGAUGCAGCGACGCCGCGUGGAGGAAGAAGGUCUUCGGAUUGUAAACUCCUGUUGUUGGGGAAGAUAAUGACGGUACCCAACAAGGAAGUGACGGCUAACUACGUGCCAGCAGCCGCGGUAAAACGUAGGUCACAAGCGUUGUCCGGAAUUACUGGGUGUAAAGGGAGCGCAGGCGGGAAGACAAGUUGGAAGUGAAAUCUAUGGGCUCAACCCAUAAACUGCUUUCAAAACUGUUUUUCUUGAGUAGUGCAGAGGUAGGCGGAAUUCCCGGUGUAGCGGUGGAAUGCGUAGAUAUCGGGAGGAACACCAGUGGCGAAGGCGGCCUACUGGGCACCAACUGACGCUGAGGCUCGAAAGUGUGGGUAGCAAACAGGAUUAGAUACCCUGGUAGUCCACACCGUAAACGAUGAUUACUAGGUGUUGGAGGAUUGACCCC